GACGAACGCUGGCGGCGUGCUUAACACAUGCAAGUCGAACGGAAAGGCCCUGCUUUUGUGGGGUGCUCGAGUGGCGAACGGGUGAGUAACACGUGAGUAACCUGCCCUUGACUUUGGGAUAACUUCAGGAAACUGGGGCUAAUACCGGAUAGGAGCUCCUGCUGCAUGGUGGGGGUUGGAAAGUUUCGGCGGUUGGGGAUGGACUCGCGGCUUAUCAGCUUGUUGGUGGGGUAGUGGCUUACCAAGGCUUUGACGGGUAGCCGGCCUGAGAGGGUGACCGGCCACAUUGGGACUGAGAUACGGCCCAGACGCCUACGGGAGGCAGCAGUGGGGAAUAUUGCACAAUGGGCGGAAGCCUGAUGCAGCAACGCCGCGUGCGGGAUGACGGCCUUCGGGUUGUAAACCGCUUUCGCUCAUGACGAAGCUUUGUGUGACGGUAGUGGGUAAAGAAGCACCGGCUAACUACGUG
Molecule: ribosomal RNA, 469 nt
Filed under: uncultured bacterium
Lineage: Bacteria
Description: partial 16S ribosomal RNA
Rfam family: Bacterial small subunit ribosomal RNA
Source: RNAcentral